GAGGGGUGCUUAGUUACAAUGAUGAUCCGACCGCAGCAGGAGCUGACUAUACGCCUGUAGACGACAACCAGGACAUAACGUGUAUACUGUAGACAAAGUUAAAUCUGUACUACACUUGUCGACGAUGAUAAUUAGCGUCUUCAAUGUCUUCCAUUUUACAAAUAUGCCUACUCGGUGAAACAAGACUUUGUUGGUGUGUUGUUGUGGCGACACAGGGGCGGGGCUUUCCUCAUUGAGUGUACUGGUUCCCAUGGCAACGCAUCUCAGCGAUAUCAUGGCGGUGGAGCCUUUUUUAUUUCAAAGAGUCGACGUUGGACUUCAUCUGCACAUCUGGACUUGCACCAGCUGACUAAUGUGACUCAAAGCACAAACCUGGGACAUUUUCUCAGGUCAAAACUGAGUCAUAACUCGCAGAGAAGUAAAUGGAGACAAUAAAGAACACCAAAGUAGGGGUCCUGUCCUGGACCCCAGCACCUGCGCGCAUCUCACCCGCAAGCUCUUUAAUGUCUGAGGAUGACACAGAUGAACAAGAUUGCAACUUUUUUAGCCAGAUGGACGACAAUGGUAUCAUUAGACUGACAGACGAACUGGUGGAUGAGACGCAUGAGGACAAUGGAAUUACAGAAUGUCAUCCAGCUUUCUCUCCAGUACCUCCCAGCCCAGAGGACCUUGAUGGGUACGAGAUAGAUGUGCUUCCCGAGGAGCAGAUUUCUAUCCUAAAUGAUCAUCUAGAGAAUAUAGACCUACUGGCAAACGAUGAUGAUGAAGUCUGUAUCUUAAGACAACAAAGUGAUCAUGAAGACGAGGAAAAAGACAAGAAGAUGACAAAAGAAGUGCAGAGUACAGAGGAAGACACAUGCAUAGGCAAGGCUCAAGAGGGAAAAAAUAGGUUAGGAGAGGGUGAGAGAGUUUUCCGCAAGGAGACAGUGAGUAAUGAUAAAGAAACGUCAGAGAACCAAUGUUUUGAGUCGCCAUUUUUGUUCCUGGAAGCUAAUGGCGACUGCAAACCUCAAUGUCUAACAUACCAGACGUUAUCAUGCCCCACUCUCCUCCUUUCCUCCCACCUGUGCCCUUUUACUGCUGAAGAAAGUACUGUGGCUGCAGGAAUUGACAGUGAAACCAUUCCAGAUAAGGAAUUUCCAGAUAGUCCUCUUGAAACAAACAGCGCAAUGAGCUGCGUGUCCAGUCCUCGUCACCAUCAGCAAAAGUCUAAAAAAGAAGAAGAAGAAUUUGAAGACACAACUAUUUCGGAAUAUCAGCACAGUACUGUCAAUGAGCAUUCAAAUAAGGGUCUUAAAAAGCUCACUUUCUCACCCAGGCAAAGGUCACCAUCAAAGGACCGCUUCCAGUCUCCAAGAAGAGAUAAUGAAUCAAGAAAAGGCUACCCUAGCCACGCGAUACCAGAUUUAUCUAAGGUAAAGCCGAGGGUCUCGUUCCCUAAAGGGGAUUACAAGCCACCAAAGAGCAGAUGGUCCACCAACAAUUCUCCAAAUUGCUUGACGCCUGUUGUCUUUAAAUCUCCUGCUGACAUUGUGAAAGAAGUGCUACUGAACACGACUGAUGGAUCUCAAACUCUGUCAGACUAUAAUAAAAGUACAUCAACCGGUUCUCCAAGCUCCACGGUACCUCAGGAGUUUCGAUGUCAACACAAGGCCCAUAUCUUGGCUGAACAGCUGCAGGAGGACUAUAACAGACUGCUGACUAAAUAUGCUGAGGCAGGGAACACCAUUGACCGUCUACGUCUGGAAGCCAAGGUUAAACUACACUCCGACCAACCCAGGCCUGCUCAUUUUGACCCAUCAGGAUUUCAUAUUGAGCCCUCAAAAAUUAUGAGACUGGAGUUUCCUCAGGCUCAGAGAGCGCAGCCCAGCCCCGGUUCCCCACCUUCCAACGAACCCAGUAGCCAAAGAUCUACCUGUGGCCUAUCGUCUUUAUCUGCCUCCAUCUCAAAUAUCUCCGAUUUCCAGGGAGGUCCGCAAGUGGCCAGUACGCUCUACGCUCAGGCCGACGGACUCCUCCAGCAGCUGCAGCGUUUUGAGGAGCAGCUGAGGAGCAAAAUACCAAAGGUGACGGGUCUCUCAACACUUUAUGAAGGACUGGACUCUUUAGAAAAGGGAUACCUGUUGGCCAAAAAAGAAAAGGAAGGAACAGCAAGUGGCCGUUUUGACCCUAAUCGAGAACUGGAGGAGUUCAUCUAUCAGUGUGGGCUGCAUCUGGACGCGCUGAAGGAGAAGGUGGAACAGAGAGCUGAUGUCGGUCAUCCUCCUUUUACCGCCACCAAAUCAUCUUCUGAUGGUUCGCACUCAGAGAACCAACAUAUGAUUGAUCCAACAGAGAUUACUGAAAGCAGCAGUGAUGAGACAAAAGGAACUGAUUUGAACCUGAAUUCUGCUCACCUCAACCAAAAAUGUGAAAAGCAAGCAGUAAACGUGAAUCAGACUUCCACCACACCUGUCAGUCACCCUGCUAAUGACAGGAGGAGAAAGAAGAUUGAGAACUCCUGCAGCAGCAGUUUGAGCAGUCUUGGAGACAUUACUGCAUCUGAGAAGAAGUGGUCCAAACCACACAAUGAGAUCAGGAGAGCUUUUUAUCAGGAUAGGAUCGUCUCGCCAGGGACAGAUAGUGGGUUUGUCGGUUCAGAGACAAGUCAUCAGACGCCGGGUUUGGCUUCCAGCUCUCUCCGCCAGAAAACCUCAAAUAGGCGUGCCAGUGUUUCCGGACAUCAGGAGGUGUGUUCAGUAAAACCUCACAAGAAUCAUACUUCAUCACCACCUUUGGGCUCCUCGCAUUCAUGCAGCUCCACAACAACAAAACAGAGAGAAUAUUUCCAACAAGAGUCGGGAAGAUCUUGUCAGGAUGAGAGCAGACAAGGCCAGUGGGUCAGUCAGGCGGAUACUACCAGGAUUGACAGUGAAACCGCCCAGACGGCGUCUGAAGACACACAAAGUGUCCAGUACGACGACUCCCCAUCUUGUUCCUCUCCAAGUCCGUCAUCCGCCUCCGCGUUUAACUGUUGCAGCGGCGACGCUCUUAAAACACUGAAAUCCAGACAGGCAGUGAUUCACAACGAUCCAAGUCGAUCCCGACAGACCAUUUCGGCCAGACCAAAGGAGAGGCGUGAAAGAACAAAGGAGUCUAAAGCAGAUCAUUUGUCUCAGCGAAACUGCACUAAACAACGAACUUCAACACCUUUGUUCAUUUCCCUCAGGUCUGUGGAGCCAUCAGUUGAUCGAGACGACAGUAGCCAAAAGACUUGGACGAUUGUCGAGGAUGAGGUGCAGAAGGUUGGGAGACGCGCAGCCAGGAGAAAAUUGACAUACAAACAACAACUACAACCUGACUCGUCAACUGCGUCAGACCUUGAAAACUCGGCUUGUCAUCUGCUGGUGACGAGAUCUACUCAGACGUCAAUUGCAGUAGCUGACAGCAAAACUUCAAACACAAGUGUGCCACACAUCCACCACAUCAAGCAGGACCUCGCUAAGCCUGAGAAAGGUGAUAACGAAACGGGUGGAGCCCCUCCUUGUCCUCAUUGUUUGUCACGUCACAGUGGCUCCUCAGAAACUGGCGGCAACCUUAAGGCAACCCACUUCUGCUGCUGCCAUUGUCAUCCUGGUUCGUAUUGUGGAUAUCACGAUGCCAGGAGAAGAAGUGAGCCAGACUGUUGCAAGGACUCAAACGUUGCCUCGACCUCCAGCCACAAACCCGAGUGUCCCGGCAGAGCGGCGGCAGCUGCUGCUGUGUGUCCCACGUCGCUGCUUCUCUACCUCCACCCUCAAGCCGUCCACAUGUACGGCAACAAUUCCAGCUCGCCCUCGAAGGAGGACAAACAAAGGUCGUCGCGACCCCCACAGCGGGUGGUGCCGCGGCGCUCCGUGGACGAAACUCUCCAGGAGGCCUGCAUCAUGCAGGACAAGUCCAAACACAUGCUGCGAGAACUGGAGGAAGGAAUGCGCCAUCUGGAGCAACAGUUCAAAACACACUACUAACUCCACCUCUGCAUAAUCAGUGCCUGUAAACGUGCAGCUGGCAAGGACACGAAGCUGUGUGAGUCCAUCCAUCCAUCCAUUUUCUACCGCUUGUCCCUUUUGGGGUCGCUGGAGCCUAUCUCACAUUUUUGACAAUUAGGUGAAAACAGCAACUCAUCGCCUGCUCAAGGUUUAACAUUUACUUCCUCGUAUAUUCACCAUUUUCUUUUCACUGCUCUGAAUUGUAAAUAUUUUUUUUUUAUGAUAUCUUGAAUACAAAGUGGUUUGAUGGCACUCAGGGUAAAGAGUGCUGCAUCUAUGAAUCCAGCAGAGGGCGGUGUCUCACAAGUCCAUUCAACAUUUUCCAGCAGGAAGAUGCUUUGACAAGAUAUGGCUGCGCUUCAGAGCAGCGGCUUCGUGCGAGCGCUCCUGGAAGUGUAGACCGAUUUGGCAAAAAUACCCCUCAAUUCAGUCAAUUUCAUGGCUGGCUCACAGCGUGUUCACUCCGUGAUCACUUACGACCGACUUACGAUUCUGGAUGUGGAGAGAUCGGGCCAUUUUGGGCUGAAAGAUGCGUGUACGGUGGACCUACUCGCUAGCUUGGGAAUUCUUCGCGAGCUACAUCCAGCAGUGGCCUUUGAAGCAGCGGCGUCGACUACCAGCGGAGACCGUCAGCGAAAGAGACGUAAGCGAUGCGCUCGGAAGCAGAAGCGGGGGUGUCGGGCGGGGCUAACAACAAAGCUAAAUGCGUUGUUGUUAGCGGGGCUAACGAAAAAGCUAAAUGCUAAUCCACAAAGAAGCGCUAAUAAGGAGUCUGUUAAGAUAGAACUAGCCAGCGCCAGGCUGGAUAAUCCCUGCACACAUAGCAAUUCUUCUAGAAUAAUAUACAACUCACAUAAUGUUUUUUCUGCGUCAGAGGUGGACAUGCAUUUUACUGAGGUGGCAAACAAUCUAAAAAUUCCUGUCAUAUCAAUUCCUAGAUAUGGUCGAAAUUAUUUAAAGUGCACUAUGCAUAAUAAACGUAACAUUAUUAAUAUUGCUACUACGGAUACUUUCAACAAAAACUCCUCAAAACAGCCCACUACCUAUAAUAUGGGCUUUUUAAACAUAAGGUCAUUGUCUUCCAAAACGUUAUUAGUUAAUGAAGUCAUCAGAGACAACAAUCUUGAUGUCGUUGGUCUAGCCGAGACCUGGCUCAAACCAGACGAUUUUUUUGCGCUGGGUGAGGCGUCUCCUCCUGGCUAUGCGGGAACGCAUAUUGCCCGCCCCAUUAAAAGGGGUGGGGGUGUUGCACUAAUAUACAACAAAAACUUUAGCCUUACCUCGGACCUAAAUAAUAAAUAUAACUCGUUUGAGGUGCUUACUGUGAGGUUUGUCACACCGCUGCCUCUGCACCUGGCUGUCAUCUACCGCCCCCCAGGGCCCUAUUCGGACUUUAUCAAUGAAUUUUCAGAGUUCGUUGCUGAUCUAGUGACGCACGCCGACAAUAUAAUCAUAAUGGGAGACUUUAACAUCCAUAUGAAUACCCCAUCGGACCCUCCAUGCGUGGCGCUCCAGACUAUAAUUGAUAGCUGUGGUCUUACACAAAUAAUAAAUGAACCCACGCAUCGCAACGGUAAUACGAUAGAUCUAGUGCUUGUCAGGGGUGUCACCACCUCUAAAGUUACGAUACUCCCGUACACUAAAGUAAUGUCCGAUCAUUACCUUAUAAAAUUCGAAGUUCUGACUCAUUGUCAACAAACUAAUAAUAAUAAUAAUAACUACUAUAGCAGCCGCAACAUUAAUACUGCCACAACGACGACUCUUACUGACCUACUGCCUUCAGUAAUGGCACCUUUCCCAAAUUAUGUGGGCUCUAUUGAUAACCUCACUAACAGCUUUAACGACGCCCUGCGCGACACCAUUGAUAGUGUAGCACCGCUAAAGCUAAAAAGGGCCCCUAAAAGGCGUACCCCAUGGUUUACAGAAGAAACUAAAGCCCAGAAAUUAUCAUGUAGAAAGCUGGAACGCAAAUGGCGUGCGACUAAACUUGAGGUUUUCCAUCAAGCAUGGAGUGAUAGUUUAAUAACUUAUAAACGCAUGCUUACCUCAGCUAAAGCUAAAUAUUACUCAAAUCUCAUCCACCUCAACAAAAAUGAUCCUAAAUUUUUGUUUAGUACAGUAGCAUCGCUAACCCAACAAGGGACUCCUCCCAGUAGCUCCACCCACUCAGCAGAUGACUUUAUGAAUUUCUUUAAAAAGAAAAUUGAAGUCAUUAGAAAAGAGAUUAAAGACAAUGCAUCUCAGCUACAACUGGGUUCUAUUAACACAAAUACGACGGUAUAUACAACGGACACUGCCCUCCA
This is an RNA transcript of Entelurus aequoreus (snake pipefish), 6313 nucleotides long. It is a transcript of the gene named AT-hook transcription factor, with no coding region annotated. The transcript is spliced from 24 exons. The record is from RefSeq and is a predicted model, not a curated record. NCBI's taxonomy places the organism in Eukaryota, Metazoa, Chordata, Actinopteri, Syngnathiformes, Syngnathidae.